This 657-nucleotide long non-coding RNA is filed under the name Phoenix dactylifera (date palm). RNAcentral describes it as "long non-coding RNA (PDAC_LNC006667)". The record is from RNAcentral. Lineage: Eukaryota; Viridiplantae; Streptophyta; Magnoliopsida; Arecales; Arecaceae.
UUGACGAGAGAAACUUAUUAUUAGGAAGGCAACUCCAAAUAAUACAUUUAUUACCCGCUCAAAUCAAUAGGAUAUUUGGAGCGCUACAAGUUCAAAAAUAUUAGCGGCAACAUUGACAAAGCGACAACGCAAGAUUAUAUAUGAUGCACUGUCCUUUGGGGUAUCCUAUUCCCUUACAAGCUUUCCUGCAGGGAUCAUCUGUGCAAACGAGAUCCUUGUAAUUUUUAUAUAUGGCGCACUGGGCAUUUACCAUGGACAAUUCCCCUGCAAGCAUAAAAAAAAAAAAGCAGUCAAUUAAGGAUGUCGUUGGCACCAACAACUAUAUUAAAAGUUUUAAAAAAUAUAAUAAAUACUUAGAAUACUUGAUUGAUAAAUUUUUUUUUUAAUGUGCCUGAAGAAAUUGUCUACAAUGUCAGUCCAAUAAUUUGCCAUAAACUUCUAGUAGAAUAUCAAUAUCACAAACUUCAAUAUUAACUUAAAAUAUAACAAAUUAUAAAAAUAAAAAAGUUACAAUUUAUUUUUCAAGCCCUCUAACCUUUUAUAUAUAUGCAUUUAUAUUAAAAGUUUGCAAAGAUCGUACCAGAGACCAGCAUGAGCAGCAAAAGCAUAGAAAAAACAAUUAUUUUCUUCUUUGCAUCCAUGGCAGCAGCUAUGUAU